Molecule: transfer RNA, 65 nt
Filed under: Mecistocephalus marmoratus
Lineage: Eukaryota; Metazoa; Arthropoda; Chilopoda; Geophilomorpha; Mecistocephalidae
Description: tRNA-Tyr
Source: RNAcentral
AAUAAAGUGGCUGAUAAUAAGCAUUAGAUUGUAAAUCUAAUAAUAAGAAAUAUUCUUCUUUCUUG